Molecule: ribosomal RNA, 451 nt
Filed under: uncultured bacterium
Lineage: Bacteria
Description: partial 16S ribosomal RNA
Rfam family: Bacterial small subunit ribosomal RNA
Source: RNAcentral
GUAGGGAAUCUUCCGCAAUGGACGAAAGUCUGACGGAGCAACGCCGCGUGAGCGAAGAAGGUCUUCGGAUCGUAAAGCUCUGUUGUCAGGGAAGAACAAGUACCGUUCGAACAGGGCGGUACCUUGACGGUACCUGACGAGGAAGCCACGGCUAACUACGUGCCAGCAGCCGCGGUAAUACGUAGGUGGCAAGCGUUGUCCGGAAUUAUUGGGCGUAAAGCGCGCGCAGGCGGUUCCUUAAGUCUGAUGUGAAAUCUCGCGGCUCAACCGCGAGCGGCCAUUGGAAACUGGGGAACGUGAGUGCAGGAGAGGGGAGCGGAAUUCCACGUGUAGCGGUGAAAUGCGUAGAGAUGUGGAGGAACACCAGUGGCGAAGGCGGCUUACUGGUCCAUUACUGACGCUGAGGUGCGAAAGCGUGGGGAGCAAACAGGAUUAGAAACCCCAGUAGUCC